Molecule: ribosomal RNA, 719 nt
Filed under: uncultured bacterium
Lineage: Bacteria
Description: bacterial SSU rRNA
Rfam family: Bacterial small subunit ribosomal RNA
Source: RNAcentral
CCUAUCAGAGGGGGAUAACCCGGCGAAAGUCGGACUAAUACCGCAUGAAGCAGGGGCCCCGCAUGGGGAUAUUUGCUAAAGAUUCAUCGCUGAUAGAUAGGCAUGCGUUCCAUUAGGCAGUUGGCGGGGUAACGGCCCACCAAGCCGACGAUGGAUAGGGGUUCUGAGAGGAAGGUCCCCCACAUUGGUACUGAGACACGGACCAAACUCCUACGGGAGGCAGCAGUGAGGAAUAUUGGUCAAUGGCCGAGAGGCUGAACCAGCCAAGUCGCGUGAGGGAUGAAGGUUCUAUGGAUCGUAAACCUCUUUUAUAAGGGAAUAAAGUGCGGGACGUGUCCCGUUUUGUAUGUACCUUAUGAAUAAGGAUCGGCUAACUCCGUGCCAGCAGCCGCGGUAAUACGGAGGAUCCGAGCGUUAUCCGGAUUUAUUGGGUUUAAAGGGUGCGUAGGCGGCCUUUUAAGUCAGCGGUGAAAGUCUGUGGCUCAACCAUAGAAUUGCCGUUGAAACUGGGGGGCUUGAGUAUGUUUGAGGCAGGCGGAAUGCGUGGUGUAGCGGUGAAAUGCAUAGAUAUCACGCAGAACCCCGAUUGCGAAGGCAGCCUGCCAAGCCAUGACUGACGCUGAUGCACGAAAGCGUGGGGAUCAAACAGGAUUAGAUACCCUGGUAGUCCACGCAGUAAACGAUGACCACUAGCUGUUUGCGAUACACUGUAAGCGGCA